AUGAACGCUGGCGGCGUGCUUAACACAUGCAAGUCGAACGGAAAGGCCGAAGCUUGCUUCGGUACUCGAGUGGCGAACGGGUGAGUAACACGUGGGUGAUCUGCCCUGUACUUCGGGAUAAGCUUGGGAAACUGGGUCUAAUACCGGAUAUGACGAUCUCUUGGAUGGGGUUGUGGAAAGCUUUUGCGGUAUGGGAUGAGCUCGCGGCCUAUCAGCUUGUUGGUGGGGUAAUGGCCUACCAAGGCGUCGACGGGUAGCCGGCCUGAGAGGGUGUACGGCCACAUUGGGACUGAGAUACGGCCCAGACUCCUACGGGAGGCAGCAGUGGGGAAUAUUGCACAAUGGGCGCAAGCCUGAUGCAGCGACGCCGCGUGGGGGAUGACGGCCUUCGGGUUGUAAACUCCUUUCGCAAUCGACGAAGCCUUUUGGUGACGGUAGGUUGAGAAGAAGCACCGACUAACUACGUG
This 467-nucleotide ribosomal RNA is filed under the name uncultured bacterium. RNAcentral describes it as "partial 16S ribosomal RNA". It matches the Rfam family "Bacterial small subunit ribosomal RNA", at positions 29 to 507 of the family's 1533-position model. The record is from RNAcentral.